RNAcentral lists this unclassified non-coding RNA (719 nucleotides) under Hevea brasiliensis (rubber tree). Lineage: Eukaryota; Viridiplantae; Streptophyta; Magnoliopsida; Malpighiales; Euphorbiaceae. The record is from RNAcentral.
ACUUGAGCGAAGUCAGGCAGAACUGCAAACAAAGAGACAGUAUGAGUGCUAUAAGUGCUUGAGUACAACAAAAUUCAAAACAUAAUUAUCUAUGACUCAGAUCAAACAAUAGUUUUUCGGCCUCUCUAUGUCUACCCAAAAAACAAUAAGCUAAGAUUAAAUGAGGAAAAAAAAGGAAACAACAAUACAAAAAAAGAUCAAAUUUUGUCACACAUAUAAAGGUCUGAAUUUUAUGAUGGCUUACUUGAAAUUACAAUUGCAUGAUAUAACACUCAUAAGUCACAGUAGAUUAAAAUCUAAGGUAAUUCUAUCAUAUAGUAAGCAAAAUGUACAGAACAACCUAAUAAGUGCCAAUUUGUGACACAACUGACAUCAGAGAAGAAAAGUCUAAUUUUCAUGGAUGCCUACUACAAAUACCAGGAAAAGCAUCCAAAUCAUCCAGUAGCCAGUAGGUGCCGUCAUCCAGAUGUUAAUGACUUUUGGUUCUUCAAACUUAACUAUAAAUUAAAAAGGAAAAUACUGGCAACCAUAAAAUACUACUAAAGGGACAGGCAGCCUUAUCAAUUAUUUAUGUGAGUUACAUGUAAUGAUGCUAGUGCUUAUUCAACAAAGACAGAUAACUACUGACAUGCAAACAUAAGUGGCAUGCGUAGGCUUUAGAGAUUUGAAACAAGUUACAUUCUAAUUUUAACUCCGUAAAUCCAUAUAGCCGACCCCAA